RNAcentral lists this ribosomal RNA (789 nucleotides) under uncultured Sulfitobacter sp. Its description in RNAcentral is "bacterial SSU rRNA". It matches the Rfam family "Bacterial small subunit ribosomal RNA", at positions 34 to 868 of the family's 1533-position model. The record is from RNAcentral. Lineage: Bacteria; Pseudomonadati; Pseudomonadota; Alphaproteobacteria; Rhodobacterales; Roseobacteraceae.
CGCUGGCGGCAGGCCUAACACAUGCAAGUCGAGCGCAGUCCUUCGGGACCGAGCGGCGGACGGGUUAGUAACGCGUGGGAACAUACCCUUUUCUACGGAAUAGCCUCGGGAAACUGAGAGUAAUACCGUAUAAGCCCUUCGGGGGAAAGAUUUAUCGGGAAAGGAUUGGCCCGCGUUAGAUUAGAUAGUUGGUGGGGUAAUGGCCUACCAAGUCUACGAUCUAUAGCUGGUUUUAGAGGAUGAUCAGCAACACUGGGACUGAGACACGGCCCAGACUCCUACGGGAGGCAGCAGUGGGGAAUCUUAGACAAUGGGCGCAAGCCUGAUCUAGCCAUGCCGCGUGUGUGAUGAAGGUCUUAGGAUCGUAAAGCACUUUCGCCAGGGAUGAUAAUGACAGUACCUGGUAAAGAAACCCCGGCUAACUCCGUGCCAGCAGCCGCGGUAAUACGGAGGGGGUUAGCGUUGUUCGGAAUUACUGGGCGUAAAGCGUACGUAGGCGGAUCAGAAAGUAGGGGGUGAAAUCCCAGGGCUCAACCCUGGAACUGCCUCCUAAACUCCUGGUCUUGAGUUCGAGAGAGGUGAGUGGAAUUCCAAGUGUAGAGGUGAAAUUCGUAGAUAUUUGGAGGAACACCAGUGGCGAAGGCGGCUCACUGGCUCGAUACUGACGCUGAGGUACGAAAGUGUGGGGAGCAAACAGGAUUAGAUACCCUGGUAGUCCACACCGUAAACGAUGAAUGCCAGUCGUCGGGCAGUAUACUGUUCGGUGACACACCUAACGGAUUAAGCAUC